GGACCGGACGACGUCGGCUGUUUCGGCCGGCGACCACACACACAAACACAAGAGCGCCGACGACACGUUAUGAGCAGCCAUUUGUCAGAAAAUUAUAAUGAACGUGUGCUUCGCACGCACUUGAGCGCAAGACACAAGAGACGCAUCAACGACUUGAGGACCCAAUAAAUCCACUGGGAAUUGUUCUUUCGGCAAGAAACUUUUCAAGAAAA
Caenorhabditis elegans is the source of this 212-nucleotide non-coding RNA. NCBI's taxonomy places the organism in Eukaryota, Metazoa, Nematoda, Chromadorea, Rhabditida, Rhabditidae. The record is from Ensembl.